RNAcentral lists this ribosomal RNA (270 nucleotides) under uncultured bacterium. RNAcentral describes it as "partial 16S ribosomal RNA". It matches the Rfam family "Bacterial small subunit ribosomal RNA", at positions 30 to 294 of the family's 1533-position model. The record is from RNAcentral.
AUUGAACGCUGGCGGCAUGCCUUACACAUGCAAGUCGAACGGCAGCAUGAUCUAGCUUGCUAGAUUGAUGGCGAGUGGCGAACGGGUGAGUAAUACAUCGGAACGUGCCCUGUAGUGGGGGAUAACUAGUCGAAAGAUUAGCUAAUACCGCAUACGACCUGAGGGUGAAAGUGGGGGACCGCAAGGCCUCAUGCUAUAGGAGCGGCCGAUGUCUGAUUAGCUAGUUGGUGGGGUAAAGGCCCACCAAGGCGACGAUCAGUAGCUGGUCUG